RNAcentral lists this long non-coding RNA (307 nucleotides) under Homo sapiens (human). RNAcentral's name for it is "non-protein coding lnc-ADGRG2-3:1". The record is from RNAcentral. Lineage: Eukaryota; Metazoa; Chordata; Mammalia; Primates; Hominidae.
AUGAAAAAUCUCCUGCACCAUAUUCUAAGUGGGAAAGAGUUUGGCGUUGAAAGAAGUGAGACAGGGUUUUUCCAUGUUGGUCAGGCUGGUCUCGAAAUCCCGGCCUCAGGUGAUCUGCCCGCCUCGGCCUCCCAAAGUGCUGGAAUUACAGGUGUGAGCCACCGCGCUGCGCCCUAUCCACUCCUCCACAUCCAGCCCUACCAUCUCCAUCCACGAGGUGGGCCAUACCGGAGUCACCAAAACUGAGAGGAGUGGCAUUAACAGACUGAGGAGUGAAAUGAAACAGAUGACUAGGCGGUUUAGUGCU